RNAcentral lists this ribosomal RNA (253 nucleotides) under uncultured bacterium. RNAcentral describes it as "partial 16S ribosomal RNA". It matches the Rfam family "Bacterial small subunit ribosomal RNA", at positions 524 to 776 of the family's 1533-position model. The record is from RNAcentral.
UACGUAGGGUGUAAGCGUUGUCCGGAAUUAUUGGGCGUAAAGAGCUCGUAGGCGGUCUGUCGCGUCUGCUGUGAAAACUCAGGGCUUAACCCUGAGCUUGCAGUGGGUACGGGCAGACUAGAGUGCGGUAGGGGAGACUGGAAUUCCUGGUGUAGCGGUGAAAUGCGCAGAUAUCAGGAGGAACACCGGUGGCGAAGGCGGGUCUCUGGGCCGUAACUGACGCUGAGGAGCGAAAGCAUGGGGAGCGAACAGG